CACAUCAUACUGAAACACCGGUUGCUGUACGAUCACCGAAGUUAAGCAAAGCCGACUCUGGUCAGUACUUAGAUGGCUGACCGCUUGGGAAUAUCAGUGCUGUAAG
Non-coding RNA from Acanthosepion pharaonis, 106 nucleotides. The record is from the annotation of a GenBank genome assembly. Lineage: Eukaryota; Metazoa; Mollusca; Cephalopoda; Sepiida; Sepiidae.